AAUGAACGUUGGCGGCGUGGAUUAGGCAUGCAAGUCGAGCGAGAACCCCGCAAGGGGGGACAGCGGCGCAAGGGACAGUAAUGUGUAGAUCAUCUGCCCUCAGGUCCGGGAUAGCUGCGGGAAACUGCAGGUAAUACCGGAUAACAUCUCCGGAUCAAAGGUGUGAUUCCGCCUGAGGAUAAGUCUGCAUCCUAUUAGCUAGUUGGCAGGGUAACGGCCUACCAAGGCAUUGAUGGGUAGCGGGUGUGAGAGCACGACCCGCGUCAUUGGGACUGGGACACUGCCCAGACACCUACGGGUGGCUGCAGUCGAGAAUCUUCGGCAAUGGGCGCAAGCCUGACCGAGCGACGCCGCGUGUGGGAUGAAGGCCUUCGGGUUGUAAACCACUGUCAGAGGGGAUGAAAUGCAGGUGGGUUCUCCCAUCUGUUUGACAUAGCCUCAGAGGAAGGACGGGCUAAGUUCGUGCCAGCCGCCGCAGUAA
RNAcentral lists this ribosomal RNA (481 nucleotides) under uncultured bacterium. RNAcentral describes it as "partial 16S ribosomal RNA". It matches the Rfam family "Bacterial small subunit ribosomal RNA", at positions 29 to 523 of the family's 1533-position model. The record is from RNAcentral.